AUGGGAGGAAGAGGUCAUGGGCGUGCUCAUCGUGACCAUGAAGAUGAUGGGAUUGGUAAAUUCAAACUUACCAUACCAUCGUUCAAUGGUAAUUCUAGUGUUGAUGAGUACUAUAAAGAGAUGGAGAUUUUGAUGAUUAGGACAGCGGUGAAUGAGCCAGAGGAGGCCACAAUGUCAAGAUUCUUUCAUGGACUGAAUGAAGAUGUGCAAGAAAGGAUAGAGAUGGUUACAUAUCAAGAUUUGCGAGAACUUGUGCAUCAAGCUAUUCAUGUAGAGCAGCAGCUGAAGCGUCGCCAAAAUCGCAGCCAAACCUAUACAUCAAGCACUUGGAGAGGUUCAGUUCAGCGAGAAGUAGCCGGAAAUUUUCGCUCACACAACAAGAUGACUACAAAAGAAGCUAAUGCAUCAAAGGUUGAAUCUUCCAAUACUCCUGCCACUCGCAUUAGUAAUAUUCAGUGCCAUACAUGCAAGGGUAGAGGUCACUUCAAGAAGGAUUGUCCUAAUCUGAAGAAGGUUUUACUCACAAAUGAUGGAUAUGUCACCGAUGACUCAAGUGACAAAUCUGAAUCUGAGAAGGAAGAUGCAAAUUAUUGUACUUUUGAGACCGGAGCACCUCUGAGUUCAGAUGGAGGAGAUGGUGUUAAUCUCAUGGUUCGAAAUGUGGCUCAUGAUGAUGCUCCUAUUGUUAAGAAGGGCCACCAACAAAAUCCUAUGGUGGAUCAGGUACUCAAGGUUGAGCAAUUCCCACAAGUGAAGAAGCCCAAAAAGAAUACCUCAAAAUCGAGGACGGUUUUGUUUGAAGGAAGGGAGGAUGAUGUGGAACAGAUCAUGACCAAGGCAUCCAAGAGUGAGGUUAAUGCUAGCACAAAUGCUGAACCAUUAGAGCAUCCAAAGGAAGACAAGGGCAAAACCAUUAUCUUAGUUGGGAAGCUUCCGGUGCCUAUUUUGAGAGAAAUGACACAUCAGAUUUCCAGCUACAACUUCCCACCUAAACCUAAUUAA
RNAcentral lists this ribosomal RNA (1002 nucleotides) under Triticum aestivum (bread wheat). RNAcentral's name for it is "partial small subunit ribosomal RNA". The record is from RNAcentral. Lineage: Eukaryota; Viridiplantae; Streptophyta; Magnoliopsida; Poales; Poaceae.